This 279-nucleotide ribosomal RNA is filed under the name uncultured bacterium. Its description in RNAcentral is "partial 16S ribosomal RNA". It matches the Rfam family "Bacterial small subunit ribosomal RNA", at positions 506 to 784 of the family's 1533-position model. The record is from RNAcentral.
UGCCAGCCGCCGCGGUUAUACGAAGGGGGCUAGCGUUGUUCGGAAUCACUGGGCGUAAAGCGCACGUAGGCGGACUUUUAAGUCAGGGGUGAAAUCCCGGGGCUCAACUCUGGAACUGCAUUCAAAACUGUUAGUCUAGAGGCCAGGAGAGGAAAGUGGAAUUCCGAGUGUAGGGGUGAAAUCCGUAGAUAUUCGGAGGAACACCAGUGGCGAAGGCGGCUUUCUGGACCGAUACUGACGCUGAGACGCGAAAGCGUGGGGAGCAAACAGGAUUAGAUA